This 183-nucleotide non-coding RNA is filed under the name Batrachochytrium dendrobatidis JAM81. RNAcentral's name for it is "Eukaryotic small subunit ribosomal RNA". It matches the Rfam family "Eukaryotic small subunit ribosomal RNA", at positions 1 to 183 of the family's 1831-position model. The record is from Rfam by way of RNAcentral. Lineage: Eukaryota; Fungi; Chytridiomycota; Chytridiomycetes; Rhizophydiales.
UACCUGGUUGAUCCUGCCAGUAGUCAUAUGCUUGUCUCAAAGAUUAAGCCAUGCAUGUCCAAGUAUAAACGAAUAUACAGUGAAACUGCGAAUGGCUCAUUAAAUCAGUUAUAGUUUAAUUGAUAGUACCUUACUAGUUGGAUAACCAGUGGUAAUUCUAGAGCUAAUACAUGCAACAAGUCC